This 111-nucleotide ribosomal RNA is filed under the name Caerostris darwini. The record is from RNAcentral. Lineage: Eukaryota; Metazoa; Arthropoda; Arachnida; Araneae; Araneidae.
AACGGCCGUACCAUGCUGAAUAUACCGGUUCUCGUUAGAUCACCGAAGUCAAGCAUCAUUGGGCGCGGUCAGUACUUGGGUGGGUGACCACCUGGGAACAAUGCGUGCAGU